Molecule: small nucleolar RNA, 130 nt
Organism: Arvicanthis niloticus (Nile rat)
Lineage: Eukaryota; Metazoa; Chordata; Mammalia; Rodentia; Muridae
Product: small nucleolar RNA SNORA17
Source: RefSeq, a predicted model, not a curated record
AUUGUCCCUAUAGGCAUUGCAGGUGUGGCUGUUGUGUUACAUGUGCAUCUGUGGGUGGCAGAGAAGAGUGGCUAUGUCUUCAUUCAGUGUUCUGACCUAUGAACACCUGAAUAACUAGUAACCUAACAUU